UGGGGAAUUUUGGACAAUGGGCGAAAGCCUGAUCCAGCAAUGCCGCGUGUGUGAAGAAGGCCUUCGGGUUGUAAAGCACUUUUGUCCGGAAAGAAAUCCUUGGCUCUAAUACAGUCGGGGGAUGACGGUACCGGAAGAAUAAGCACCGGCUAACUACGUGCCAGCAGCCGCGGUAAUACGUAGGGUGCAAGCGUUAAUCGGAAUUACUGGGCGUAAAGCGUGCGCAGGCGGUUUGCUAAGACCGAUGUGAAAUCCCCGGGCUCAACCUGGGAACUGCAUUGGUGACUGGCAGGCUAGAGUAUGGCAGAGGGGGGUAGAAUUCCACGUGUAGCAGUGAAAUGCGUAGAGAUGUGGAGGAAUACCGAUGGCGAAGGCAGCCCCCUGGGCCAAUACUGACGCUCAUGCACGAAAGCGUGGGGGAGCAAACAGGAUUAGAUACCCUGGUAGUCCACGCCCUAAAACGAUGUCAACUAGUUGUUGGGGAUUCAUUUCCUUAGUAACGUAGCUAACGCGUGAAGUUGACCGCCUGGGGAGUACGGUCGCAAGAUU
RNAcentral lists this ribosomal RNA (549 nucleotides) under uncultured bacterium. RNAcentral's name for it is "partial 16S ribosomal RNA". It matches the Rfam family "Bacterial small subunit ribosomal RNA", at positions 355 to 895 of the family's 1533-position model. The record is from RNAcentral.